GAAAAAGUAAGUUUAUUUA
RNAcentral lists this small RNA (19 nucleotides) under Caenorhabditis elegans. Its description in RNAcentral is "Unclassified non-coding RNA B0250.14". The record is from RNAcentral. Lineage: Eukaryota; Metazoa; Nematoda; Chromadorea; Rhabditida; Rhabditidae.